This 511-nucleotide ribosomal RNA is filed under the name Rhantus cicurus. RNAcentral describes it as "partial 16S ribosomal RNA". It matches the Rfam family "Bacterial large subunit ribosomal RNA", at positions 1819 to 2597 of the family's 2925-position model. Lineage: Eukaryota; Metazoa; Arthropoda; Insecta; Coleoptera; Dytiscidae. The record is from RNAcentral.
GUCCUUUUGUUAUUAAUUUAAGGUCUGACCUGCCCACUGAUUUAUUUUGAAGGGCCGCAGUAAUUUGACUGUGCAAAGGUAGCAUAAUCAUUAGUUUUUUAAUUAAAAGCUUGUAUGAAGGGUUGGACGAGGUAAAAUCUGUCUCUAUUUAAUUUAUAAUAGAAUUUAAUUUUUAAGUUAAAAAGCUUAAAUUUAUUUAAAAGACGAGAAGACCCUAUAGAUCUUUAUAAAAAUUUUAUUUAUUUUAUUAAAGAAUAUUUUAUUUAUAAUUAAAUUUUUUAUUUUAUUGGGGUAAUAAAAAGAUUAAACUAAUUCUUUUUUUAUUUAAACAUUUAUUUAUGAUUAAUUGAUCCAAUAUUUUUGAUUAAAAGAUUAAGUUACCUUAGGGAUAACAGCGUAAUUUUUUUAGAGAGUUCAUAUCGAUAAAAAAGUUUGCGACCUCGAUGUUGGAUUAAAAAUUAUCUUAGGUGCAGAAGUUUAAGAUUUUGGUCUGUUCGACCAUUAAAUUUUU